RNAcentral lists this unclassified non-coding RNA (194 nucleotides) under plant metagenome. RNAcentral describes it as "partial contains small subunit ribosomal RNA, internal transcribed spacer 1, and 5.8S ribosomal RNA". The record is from RNAcentral.
UUUCCGUAGGUGAACCUGCGGAAGGAUCAUUACAGAGUUCAUGCGCGAAUGGGUUGACCUCCCACACUUGUGUCUUAUUACUUUGUUGCUUUGGCCGGCGCAUGCUCGCCCGAGAGUACCAAAACUCUUUUUAUUAAUGUCGGCUGAGUACUAUAUAAUAGUUAAAACUUUCAACAACGGACCUCUUGGUUCUG